This 734-nucleotide ribosomal RNA is filed under the name uncultured bacterium. Its description in RNAcentral is "bacterial SSU rRNA". It matches the Rfam family "Bacterial small subunit ribosomal RNA", at positions 28 to 774 of the family's 1533-position model. The record is from RNAcentral.
GAUGAACGCUGGCGGCGUGCUUAAUACAUGCAAGUCGAACGGAGUUCAGAUGAAACCUAGUGAUUCUGAACUUAGUGGCGGACGGGUGAGUAACGCGUGGGUAACCUGCCCUGUACAGGGGGAUAACGGCUGGAAACGGCCGCUAAAACCGCAUAACAUCGGAACACCGCAUGAUGUUCCGGUCAAAUAUUUAUAGGUACAGGAUGGGCCCGCGUCUGAUUAGCUAGAUGGUGAGGUAACGGCCCACCAUGGCGACGAUCAGUAGCCGUACUGAGAGGUAGAACGGCCACAUUGGGACUGAGACACGGCCCAAACUCCUACGGGAGGCAGCAGUAGGGAAUAUUGGUCAAUGGGGGAAACCCUGAACCAGCGACGCCGCGUGAGUGAAGAAGUAUUUCGGUAUGUAAAGCUCUAUCAGCAGGGACGAUAAUGACGGUACCUGACUAAGAAGCCCCGGCUAACUACGUGCCAGCAGCCGCGGUAAUACGUAGGGGGCAAGCGUUAUCCGGAUUUACUGGGUGUAAAGGGAGUGUAGGUGGUCAUGCAAGUCAGAUGUGAAAUUCCGGGGCUCAACCCCGGACUGCAUUUGAAACUGCGUGACUGGAGUGCAGGAGAGGUAAGCGGAAUUCCUAGUGGAGCGGUGAAAUGCGUAGAUAUUAGGAGGAACACCGGUGGCGAAGGCGGCUUACUGGACGAUAACUGACGUUGAGGCUCGAAAGCGUGGGGAGCAAACA